UGAGUUGUGGCUCAGUGGUAGAGCGCUUGCUUGCCUGGCAUGUGUGAGGCACUGGGUUCGAUUCUCAGCACCACAU
RNAcentral lists this transfer RNA (76 nucleotides) under Marmota monax (woodchuck). It matches the Rfam family "tRNA". Rfam says of the family: Transfer RNA (tRNA) molecules are approximately 80 nucleotides in length. Their secondary structure includes four short double-helical elements and three loops (D, anti-codon, and T loops). The record is from Rfam by way of RNAcentral. Lineage: Eukaryota; Metazoa; Chordata; Mammalia; Rodentia; Sciuridae.